RNAcentral lists this long non-coding RNA (1068 nucleotides) under Heterocephalus glaber (naked mole-rat). RNAcentral describes it as "lncRNA (ENSHGLG00000035304.1)". The stretch from base 730 to 809 matches the Rfam family "Small nucleolar RNA SNORD115". Lineage: Eukaryota; Metazoa; Chordata; Mammalia; Rodentia; Bathyergidae. The record is from RNAcentral.
CUCAAUAGGAUUACGCUGAGGCCCAGCCUAAGGGAGGGUGGCACCAGAGGAGAUUGGCAGCCGGCCAUCCUGUCCAGGACAGUCGAACUGUGGCUGGGAGCCCACUAAGUGGCCCCACAGGGGAGAUGCUGUGGAGCCACAGUGUGGGCUGCCCCUGCGGAGAAGUUGGGGUCUUUGUGCUGAGAGCCCUGAGAUGCUGCCCAAGAAGGAGGUCCCGGGACUGCUGUCCCGUGGGCCGCAGUCUGCCCGCUGCUGUCCCACCCCGCUUCUGUGAUCCUCUGCAGACCUUCUGUGCACAGUGAUCUCUGGCAUCCCGUCCUGUGGGCUGCCCCUGCGGAGAAGUUGGGGUCUUUGGGCUGCGAGGGGCGUCGGUCAGAACACCCGGGCAUCCCAGGAUAUCGGGCUCAAGGGUGCCAGAGAGCACCUCCCGGGUCCUCGGUUUGGGUAGUGGAUCAUCACUGUGAAACUGCUCUGGUGAAACCCUUGCAGGAUGUUGAUGCCCACCUCUCUCCCAACUUGCUGCCCUGCUGCUCUGCAGGCCCUGAGAUGCUGCCCAAGAAGGAGGUCCCGGGACUGCUGUCCCGUGGGCCGCAGUCUGCCCGCUGCUGUCCCACCCCGCUUCUGUGAUCCUCUGCAGACCUUCUGUGCACAGUGAUCUCUGGCAUCCCGUCCUGGUAAGCCAUGGCAGCUGCCGGCGGAGCCCUGUCUCUCCCAGGUUGUGUUCAGUCUGGGUCGAUGAUGACACUGCAAUGGGGCUGAAAAGAGGUGAUGUCUUCAAAAACAGGCUCAAUAGGAUUACGCUGAGGCCCAGCCUAAGGGAGGGUGGCACCAGAGGAGAUUGGCAGCCGGCCAUCCUGUCCAGGACAGUCGAACUGUGGCUGGGAGCCCACUAAGUGGCCCCACAGGGGAGAUGCUGUGGAGCCACAGUGGUAGGCGCACCUCCAGGCCCGACCGAGACCCUUCCCUGGUUUCGGUGCACCCCAGUCACGAUCAUCCCCCAAUCUGCUCCUGUCACGGUGACGAGGAGCCCCUCUUGCUCAGCCCCUUUCCUUUGCUUUUGCCUUUCAG